Molecule: long non-coding RNA, 3723 nt
Filed under: Sus scrofa (pig)
Lineage: Eukaryota; Metazoa; Chordata; Mammalia; Artiodactyla; Suidae
Description: lncRNA (ENSSSCG00030044688.1)
Source: RNAcentral
GGGGUCGAAUCAGAGCUGUAGCCGCCAGCCUAUGCCACAGCCACAGCAAUGCCAGAUCCAAGCCGAAUCUGUGACCUACACCACAGCUCAUGGCAACAUAGGAUCCUUAACCCACUGAGCAAGGCCAGGGAUCGAACCCACAUCAGCAUGGAUACUAGUCAGGUUUGUAACUGCUGAGCCACAACAGAACUCCUUAUUACAAGACAUUGAAUAUAGUUCCCUGUGCUGCACAUUAGUUCCCUGUUGGUUAUCUAUUUUAUAUACGGUAGUUUGUUUGUUAGUCCCAGACGCCUAAUUCAUCCCUCCACCACUGUCCCUUUUAGUAGCUCUAUGUUUGUUUUCGAUAUCUGCGAGUCUAUUUCUCUUUUGUAAAUAAGUUCAUUUGUAUCAUUUUUUUAGAUUCCACGCAUAAGUGAUAUCGUAUGAUUAUUUGUCUUUCUCAGUCUGGCUUAAUUCCCUGAGCAAGCGAGGAGAUUUGAGUGUGGAUAAAAGCAAAUGGGAAAAACUCACUGAAAGGUAUACGUAAGAACAGUGCAUUUCAGGAAUUCCUGCUGUGGUGCAGUGGGUUAAGAAUCUGACUGCAGUGGCUCAGGUCGCUGUGGAGGUGCAGGUUCAAUGCCUGGUGCAGGGGGUUAAAGGAUCCGGCAUUGCCACAGCUGCAGCAUAGGUCACAGCUGCAGCUCAGAUUCAGUCCCUGAACCAGGAACUUGCCUAUGCCUUGAGCGUGGCCAUAACAAAGAUUUUUUUUUUUAAUAAUAAUUUUUAGGGAGUCCCUGUCAUGGCACAGCGGAAACAAAUCCGACUAGGAACCUUGAGGUUGCAGGUUCGAUCCCUGGCCUCGCUCAGUGGGUUGAGGAUCCAGCGUCACCAGGAGCUGUGGUGUAGGUCGCAGACGCAGUUUGGAUCUGGUGUUGCUGUGGCUGUGGCAUAGGCCGGUGGCUACAGCUCCAAUUAGACCCCUAGCCUGGGAACCUCCGUAUGCCGUAGGAGCAGCCCUUGAAAAAAAGGCAAAAAAAAAAAAACAGGUCCUACAUGGCUUAUCAUGGGACACCCUGAAUGAGCGGCUUUCUUUCUCAUGCUGGCAAUAAAUUUGCAACCAUGCUCCCAAUUUAAGGCAAAUCCUACAGGGUGAUUAGAACAGGUUACAGGCUGAAGCCCUUUGAGCUUCCAGGCAGCUGACCCUGCCCACUGCCCUCUCUUAAAAACAGGAAGGUGGCCAGAGCUCACACCACAUGCAAGCCACCUCUUCCUACUGUCCACCUACCACCUCCUGAGCCUCUGGGAGCACAAGGGUAGGGGUCAACAGACACCAGUUCCAGCUGGGCCCUGGGUUGACCUGCUGACGUCAGUCUUCUCCUUGCAAAAUGGGGGCAAGGAUCCCACAGACCUGCCUGGUUCACUGAAAAAGUCAAAUGAGUGAGGUUGCUCAUGUAUAGAAUAUCUAGGACAGAGUUCCCGUUGUGGCUCAGUGGUAUCGAACCUGACUAGUAUCCAUGAGGACACAGGAUCCUUCCCUGGCCUCAAUCAGUGGGUUAAGGAUCUGGCAUUGUCAAGAGUUGCAGUGUGGUUUGCAGAUGUGGCUUGGAUCCCACGUUGCUGUGGCCGUGGUGUAGGCUUGCAGCUAUAGCUCCAAUUUGCCCCUUAGCCUGGGAACUUCCAUAUGCCACAGGUGUGGCCCUGAAAAGACCGGGGAAAAAAAGAUUGUUCUUUUCUGGCCAUGUGAAGGCUACAAUUCAUGCACAAGUACGCACUGUCAUAAUUCAAAGGCUACUUUAUAAUGUUCCAAAUAGCAGCAGGGCUUAGGUUUUGAAAUCGCUUUUGCUCUCCGCUCACAUCUCGAGCUGCAUAAAACGCAUCCUCUCUGCUGUGCCCGAUGCCUCGGGUCAUGUCCCUCGUCCACAUAAAAGCCCAUUUGAGAAUCAUUAUAACCCAGGCGGCUCUCAGAUUGGGGGCUGGUCACUUCUGAAGGUCCCAAGGCGGUCACAGAGAAGCGCCCCGGAGCCUCGCUUUCUUCUUUGGGCUAAAGAUCCACCUGCUGUAAUUAGCAAGAUUGGUCCUGGACCCGGCAGAGUCUGCAGCCCCAAGACCAAACGAAGCCCUUUGGCAUUCCCCAUGGGAAACGCGUCUCUUGAUUUUCUGCUCCCAGAUCUGAAAAGCCACCUUCUACGAGGUCGGUGGAAAACUCCAAUUCAUUAAUGAUUUCAACAGGAAAUUUCAAAAGGCUUGUUGACAGCCGCCAUCACCAUGGUGUAACCUUAUCCUUAUCUUUCAUUACCCCGCUUUUAUUAGGAAAAGAAAAAAGGAGUUUGUUUUCAUGGGCAUAGCCUCACAGAAGGCUUUCAUACGCAAGAAAAAUACGCAAGAUGAAAAAAGCGCACUCAUAGGAGGGACCCUGGCUGUACUUGAAAGUGCUAAGGAAACCCUCGCUCUCCGUGGAGAAGUCACAUUUUCCUCAUUACUGGUACAAGCCAGUCUCCAGGGGCUACUGGGUAGGUUCAUGGGGGGACCAGGUGUAAAAGUGCCGCCAGGAGUUCCCCCAGGGCCCAGGGGGUUAAGAAUCCAACUGCAACGUGGAGAACAGACUUGUGGUUGCCAAGGGGGGAGGGGGAGGGAAUGGGAGGGACAGGGAGUUUGUGGUUGGUAGUUGCAAACUAUUACAUUUAGAAUGGAUAAGCAGCAGUGUCCGCUGUGACGCCCUGGAAACAAAUCUGACUACAAACCAUGAGGUUGCGGGUUCGAUCCCUGGCCUCGCUCAGUGGGUUAAGGAUCCAGUAUUGCCAUGGGCUUGGUGUAGGUCACAGACGCAGCUCAGAUCCUGAGUUGCUGUGGCUCUGGCGUAGAUGGGCAGCUACAGCUCUAAUUGGACCCUUUGCCUGGGAACCUCCAUACGCCUCGGGUGUGGCCCUAAAAAGAAAAAAUGAAAAAAAAAAUCCUAAAAUCUAGAGUGGAUAAGUAAUGAAGUCCUACUCUACAGCACAGGGGACUCGAUCCAGUCUCUUGGGAUAGAACAUGAUGGAAGGUAAUAUAAGAAAAAGAAUUAUAUGUGUGUGGGACUGGGCUACUUUGCUGUACAGCAGAAAUGGGCACAACAUUGUAAUCAACUAUAAUUUUUUUUAAACUGUGGAGGCAAAGGUUCAAUCCCUGGCCCUUCACAGUGGGUUAAAGGAUCCAGAGUUGCCACAGCUGUGGUGUAGAUCCUAGUUAUGGCUCGGAUUCCAUCCCUGGCCUGGAAACUUCCAUAAACCGUGGUACGCUAUAAAAAUAAAAAACUUUUUUUAUGAGUUCCUGUUGUGGCUCAGUGGUAACGAACCCGACUAGUAACCAUGAAGACUCAGGUUCAAUCCCUGGCCUCACUCAGUGCAUUAAGCAUCCAGUGUUGCCAUGAGCUGUGACCUAGAUGGCAAAGGCAGCUUGGAUCCUGUGUUGCUGUGUCUGUGGUGUAGGCCAGCGGCUACAGCUCCGAUUCAACCCCUAGCCUGAGAACUUCCAUAUCCCACAGGUGUAGCCCUAAAAAGCAAAAUAAUAAUAAUAAUAAUAAUAAAGUGUCGCUAAUUCAAUGUCUGCAAACCACUAUAAAGUAGGGAUUUAACCUCCUACAGCUCAUCUCUGCGGCCAGUACAGACACGAAUUCCCACCCCCUCCGAUACCAACCCUUUCUUAAAGCAGGGACACUCGCAGAUAAUGUCAAUGGACUCAAGCAAUGACAGCAAACUCAAUGGGCAG